UGCCUUCGGGAACUCUGAGACAGGUGCUGCAUGGCUGUCGUCAGCUCGUGUUGUGAAAUGUUGGGUUAAGUCCCGCAACGAGCGCAACCCUUAUCCUUUGUUGCCAGCGGUCCGGCCGGGAACUCAAAGGAGACUGCCGGUGAUAAACCGGAGGAAGGUGGGGAUGACGUCAAGUCAUCAUGGCCCUUACGACCAGGGCUACACACGUGCUACAAUGGCGCAUACAAAGAGAAGCGACCUCGCGAGAGCAAGCGGACCUCAUAAAGUGCGUCGUAGUCCGGAUUGGAGUCUGCAACUCGACUCCAUGAAGUCGGAAUCGCUAGUAAUCGUGGAUCAGAAUGCCACGGUGAAUACGUUCCCGGGCCUUGUACACACCGCCCGUCACACCAUGGGAGUGGGUUGCAAAAGAAGUAGGUAGCUUAACCUUCGGGAGGGCGCUUACCACUUUGUGAUUCAUGACUGGGGUGAAGUCGUAACAAGGUAACCGUAGGGGAACCUGCGGUUGGAUCACCUCCUUA
RNAcentral lists this ribosomal RNA (518 nucleotides) under Cronobacter sakazakii. RNAcentral describes it as "bacterial SSU rRNA". It matches the Rfam family "Bacterial small subunit ribosomal RNA", at positions 1014 to 1533 of the family's 1533-position model. The record is from RNAcentral. Lineage: Bacteria; Pseudomonadati; Pseudomonadota; Gammaproteobacteria; Enterobacterales; Enterobacteriaceae.